RNAcentral lists this ribosomal RNA (465 nucleotides) under uncultured bacterium. RNAcentral describes it as "partial 16S ribosomal RNA". It matches the Rfam family "Bacterial small subunit ribosomal RNA", at positions 339 to 795 of the family's 1533-position model. The record is from RNAcentral.
CUACGGGUCGCACCAGUGAGGAAUUUUGCGCAAUGGGGGAAACCCUGACGCAGCAACGCCGCGUGAGUGAAGAAGGCCCUUGGGUCGUAAAGCUCUGUCAAUGGGGAAGAAGUUAUUAUGUGUUAAUAGCACAUUUUAUUGACGGUACCCAUGAAGGAAGCACCGGCUAACUCCGUGCCAGCAGCCGCGGUAAUACGGGGGGUGCAAGCGUUAUUCGGAAUUAUUGGGCGUAAAGGGCACGCAGGCGGUCCUGUCAGUCAGAUGUGAAAGCCCGGGGCUCAACCCCGGACGUGCAUUUGAAACAGCAGGACUUGAGUACGGGAGAGGAAAGGGGGAUUCCUGGUGUAGAGGUGAAAUUCGUAGAUAUCAGGAGGAACACCGGUGGCGAAGGCGCCUUUCUGGACCGAUACUGACGCUGAGGUGCGAAGGCGUGGGUAGCGAACGGGAUUAGAUACCCCAGUAGUC